UGGCUCAGUGGUAGAGCGCUUGCCUUUCAUGCAUGAGGCCCUGGGUUCGAUUCCUCAG
Molecule: non-coding RNA, 58 nt
Organism: Dipodomys ordii (Ord's kangaroo rat)
Lineage: Eukaryota; Metazoa; Chordata; Mammalia; Rodentia; Heteromyidae
Source: Rfam